RNAcentral lists this ribosomal RNA (497 nucleotides) under uncultured bacterium. RNAcentral's name for it is "partial 16S ribosomal RNA". It matches the Rfam family "Bacterial small subunit ribosomal RNA", at positions 28 to 507 of the family's 1533-position model. The record is from RNAcentral.
GACGAACGCUGGCGGCGUGCCUAAUACAUGCAAGUAGAACGCUGAAGGAAGGAGCUUGCUCUUUCUGGAUGAGUUGCGAACGGGUGAGUAACGCGUAGGUAACCUGCCUGGUAGCGGGGGAUAACUAUUGGAAACGAUAGCUAAUACCGCAUAAAAUUGAUUAUUGCAUGAUAGUCAAUUAAAAGGUGCAACUGCACCACUACCAGAUGGACCUGCGUUGUAUUAGCUAGUUGGUGGGGUAACGGCUCACCAAGGCGACGAUACAUAGCCGACCUGAGAGGGUGAUCGGCCACACUGGGACUGAGACACGGCCCAGACUCCUACGGGAGGCAGCAGUAGGGAAUCUUCGGCAAUGGACGGAAGUCUGACCGAGCAAUGCCGCGUGAGUGAAGAAGGUUUUCGGAUCGUAAAGCUCUGUUGUAAGAGAAGAACGAGUGUGAGAGUGGAAAGUUCACACUGUGACGGUAUCUUACCAGAAAGGGACGGCUAACUACGUG